RNAcentral lists this long non-coding RNA (640 nucleotides) under Homo sapiens (human). Its description in RNAcentral is "non-protein coding lnc-WISP1-12:1". Lineage: Eukaryota; Metazoa; Chordata; Mammalia; Primates; Hominidae. The record is from RNAcentral.
ACAAAAACUAGCCCUAUCUCGAUUAUGUUUCAAAUUUUCCCAUCAACAAACACGAGUAUCCUCCUAUCUAUCACAAUCCUAUCCAUUAUAGUGGGCGGUUGAGGAGGACUUAACCAAAUACAACUGCAUAAAAUCCUAGCCUACUCCUCAGUCACUCACACAGGUUGAACAAUAGCAGUACUAAUCUAUAACCCAAACAUUACCAUUCUAAACCUGACUAUUUACUUUAUCUUAACAACAACCGCAUUUCUAGCAUUCAACCUGACUAUAAGCACCACAACGCUGUUGCUGUCUCACACCUGAAACAAAUUAGCAUGGUUGACACCUAUAAUUCCACGAAUUCUACUAUCCCUAGAAGGUUUACCUCCAUUAACAGGGUUCCUGCCUAAAUGAAUCAUCAUCCAAGAAUUUACAAAAAUCAAUAGCCUUUUUACCCCGACCAUUAUAGCUCUCAUAACCCUACUCAACCUGUACUUUUACAUACACCUAAUUUACUCCAUCCCAGGGACAAUAUUCCCCACAUCUAAUAAUAUGAAAAUAAAAUGAAAAUUCAAAAACACUAAACCCAGAUUAGUCUUCCCCCCACUUAUCAUCUCUUCUACACUCCUCUUACCCAUCUCUCCAUUAAUACUAACUAUAA